UUCCCUCCUCCAUCUCUUUAUAUUUCAAGAUUCUAACAUCCACCACCUCUUCUUCUCUUCACAAAAACUCUAUAGUCAUCUUCUUUUUUCUUUCUAAAUGUCUCCAAAAACCCAAAUGGGAAAUUGCAUGAAAAAUAAUAAAGCUGUUAUUCUAGGUCAUGAUCAUGAAGAGAAAAUUAAGGGACCUAUUGAGGAAGCGGAAAAGGCAAAGGUACAAAGCAUUAAUAAUAGAAGAAGAAGUGUUAGAUUUAGAGUAGAUGAUGACAAAGAAGAGGGCCAAGAAAUGAUGAGAAAAGGUGUGGUAAGUAUUAGGCUAGUUGUGACACAAGAAGAAUUGAUGUAAAUAUUGAAUGGGAAGUUUAAUUAUUCCUCAGCAGAUGAAUUUUUAAGAAAAAUAAGGUCAGAAAGUAGAGGUAAAAGAAUAAGAAGCAGCAGAAGUAGAUUACUGCACGAUUGAUUUUCUGAAAAAAUAAGUAGUAGCACAAGUUGGAGGCCAACUCUUGAGUGUAUUCCAGAGAACCACUAAAAUUGUUCUGAAUAUUUCCUCCUAUUUUUUUUCUUCUUUAUCUUGUUGUGGUAACAGAUUUGGAGGUUGUUAAUAUCUGGUUAUAUCUUCUGAAUGAUAAAGGUUAGUUUUUUAUUUAUAUCUUUCUUGUUUUUUCUUUCUUUUUUUUGGUUUGAGGUUGGGGGGUUGGGGGAGGUUGUAGGGAGCGAUUCCUUGAUAUAUUCAGAAUUUUGUUGAUGUUAAUUUCAGAUUUUAUGCGAAACUGAUGCGUCACUAAAAAAAAAUAGCUUAUUUGCGGAGGGUAUUUUCAUAUUUUGCGACAGUCGGCGAACCCCGUUAUUUGAUAUUGCAGCGGUCUUCAAAACCACAACUAUAAGGUUUGCCGCAAUCAUUUUGAGACAGUUUUUUAAAGCCCGCCGUAACUAUUUAACGGAGGUUAUUU
This 947-nucleotide long non-coding RNA is filed under the name Nicotiana benthamiana. RNAcentral describes it as "long non-coding RNA (NBEN_LNC028149)". The record is from RNAcentral. Lineage: Eukaryota; Viridiplantae; Streptophyta; Magnoliopsida; Solanales; Solanaceae.